Glossina fuscipes is the source of this 2038-nucleotide long non-coding RNA. RefSeq lists it as uncharacterized. The record is from RefSeq and is a predicted model, not a curated record. The transcript is spliced from 3 exons. Lineage: Eukaryota; Metazoa; Arthropoda; Insecta; Diptera; Glossinidae.
AGCUUACCCGCGAAAAUCAUCAUUUUUAACAUUACUUUAAAUACAACGGUUUGCCGUCGAUAUCUGACCAGGGGACCAAAUUAUUCAGAUCGAUCUGGAGGGAAUUACCGCAUUGAAAGAAUGCGAUCUCAACUGCUUGUUAAAGCAGAACGGACACUUUCAAGUUGGCGGAGUGCAUACAAUCGGAACAGCUUUGCAAAUCGCAUGGCACAGAUUGCAGUGCAUAAAAGAUACUGACGCAUCAAUAUCUUUCUAAUCGAGAUUCCAAACAACUUCAUAAUAUAUGUGAAGUUGCCUGCAUCUGACAUAGAGCCUUAAUCAGACGAGUUCCCUAGAACCAUUGGCAGUUAAUAUAGUCAAAUUGGACAACCCUCAGCCUUGCAAGACAAUUCUACAGAAGAUCGGGCCUAUGCCAAGUACCACAUUGUAAAUUUAGAUAUGUACCAACCCUUCUCUUCUGGGCAAGAUGAGGUCUACCAAGGACCUCUAAUUAUUUAAUUCCUGCGCAUUUUGAGAUAACAUCAACCCUCACACAAUGGUUACCCUGCUGUUUUCAAAAUGUGAUUGGAUAUACCAGCUUCCAAUUAAAUUUGUAAAAGACAUGCCAAUAUGCAAGCGUUCCCCCGGAGAACCUUUGCAUGCAUCAACCAAUGCUGUCACCUUUAACCGCCUAAGCAGGGUAUUGCUAACUUUGCGAGUGACCCACCUGGCCCCCGUGGAUUCCAUAGUUCUUAGCAUGCUUUGGAAUUAUGGUGUCGUUAUGAUCAUAGCUUCAUACUUACAUUUUGGAUUUUCUGUACUUCCGGGUGCUCAUCACACUGCGCUAUCCUUGGCUUUUCGACAACCUACUGGCUGUGUACUGGACCUCGUGGGUAACUGACUACACUGAUGUCGGGCAAGCAGACGACCCCUGGUACUAUCGACAACUGUCGAAGGAAAGAAAAACUCUCUCAGUUUUUGAAAAUUGAUUUUGCUGAACAUAGAAGAGGUCUUUUUAAAAGCCUUGCAAUGCGUAUCACUCGAUUAUUCUUAGCAACAACAUAGAGUGAUAGUCAUCCUGCAGUAAAACGAAUGGAUUUUCCCGGGCAUAUUUGUAUCGUUUGGAACAAUGACACGCACCUUCACAUUAUAAAUGUAGUUACAUUGCAUAAGGCCGAAUUCAUGGGUUCAACAGAGUCAUUGUAUGCUAACGGCAUCGACGACGGUAUAAAAUAACUAAGAUCCUAAUUAAAAACCUUCUAACAUCAGGUACGUUGAAAUCAGUCAGUAAUAAGAUUGAAUCCCUGGACUUCAUGACUCGUAUAAGUUAUGAGAUCUGACGAAGGGAGAAUAUAGAAGCACCUAAUGUACAAAUAGAAUGACUGUAAUUUCGCUUUUAGAGCCGCAGUUUGGUAACUCUGCGGGCGCGAUCUGAACCCUUUUUUUUAGUUGUGUAUAAAUAAAAAUUUUGUAACUCUUUUUUUAUUUUACUGCUUUAGACGGCUUUAUUGCUUACUUAAUUAUAAAAGAGUCCGAAAUUAUUAAAAUACACUGAAGUUUUGCGUUGAUAUGUUUUUGGUUUUUGCGAUCAGCAAUUAAGGCUUUCGUCAACAAAUGUCCUUCUUGUUUUUGCCGUGUUCUAGCCACAUCUACCUUGCUUUGCGGCGUUUAUAGUUUGUUUGCCGUGUUUUCAAUUGUGCAAAAUUUGCGUUCUAAUUUAAGAGACAUUUUUGCAAAAUUUUUUGUUCUUUAUAUCUUCACAAACUCUAUUUUGCCUCUUACUUUCUGAUAUUCGGUGUUUGUUUACGUCUUGUCGCACAGAAGCAGGUCCCGAUCCUAAGCGGUUCAUUACUUGUUGGCUUUGCAAUCGUUAUUGUCAUGCAAAAUCUGCAGGUAUUAUUGGUUGUGCUGCAGACGCAGUCCUAAAACUUUCUAAUGGCCCGACUGCAGGCAGCGGGACAUUGACUUUUCAAAGCUUUUCACUGAGUUUAGUAGAAAACUUGUGAUAUUAUGGGAUAAUUUGAAAAAUUGAAUUAUCGACAAAUGAAAUACUUUUCAU